This is a long non-coding RNA of Apis cerana (Asiatic honeybee), 591 nucleotides long. RefSeq lists it as uncharacterized. The record is from RefSeq and is a predicted model, not a curated record. NCBI's taxonomy places the organism in Eukaryota, Metazoa, Arthropoda, Insecta, Hymenoptera, Apidae.
AGAAACUUUUAAUUUUUUUCAUAUACAUAGUAUGAUAUUUUUAUCGUUUUAAAAAUACAAAAAAUGAAAUAGAUAACAGAUGUAAAAUUAACUUGUUAAUGUUUUGAAGAUAAGUGAGAUGAAAUUUAUAUUGUGUGAUAUCCUGUAUUUGUAAUAUUUUUCAAAUAAGUAAAGUUGUGUGAAUAAAGAGGUUAUAUUGAUUUAUACGAGUUAAAAAAGAAGAUAUAAAUUUAAAAAAUUGUUUAGAAAAAAUGUAGAAACUUAAACUCGAACAGAAUACAAAUUUUUCUCAGGAAUACACGGAUGAAAUUGACAAUCGUUCGAAGGACGUAACAGGAUCCAUUAUACGACUGCUUGAAAGCUCAUAUGAAUUGACAAGAGAAGUAAUAUCGAUAGAAUUGUAUAACAAGUGACUGUAACGCUUAUUGUGUGAUUUCAAUGGAAUCACUUUGAUAACUUUAUUUUCACGCUACGUAUUUUUAUACUAGAUAUAUUUUCUAUAUAUUUUUGUACUAUUUUCCAUAUAUGAAACUGUUUUUCCUUUUUUUUUAAUAAAUUAUUUUUAUAAAUGAAAUUAUUAAAUAAAAAUAU